Molecule: ribosomal RNA, 411 nt
Filed under: Triticum aestivum (bread wheat)
Lineage: Eukaryota; Viridiplantae; Streptophyta; Magnoliopsida; Poales; Poaceae
Description: partial small subunit ribosomal RNA
Source: RNAcentral
AUGAAAUGUGUCAAGUCAACAAGAAUUGUUUUGAAUGAACUUAGAGAAGAUGGAUGGGAAUCUAUGCUAAGUGAAGUUCACGUGUUUUGCGAGAAACAUGGUACUGGAGAGUUGGACAUGGAAGAAGCAUAUGUUAAUCCAAAAAAGAGAAGGCAGGUAACCAGAAUUACCAACAAAUAUCAUUAUCAAGUUGAUUGCUUCAAUGAUGUUUUUGAUUGGCUAGUUUAGGAGCUUGAUAGUAGGUUCAGUGAGACAUCCCUAAUGCUUUUUUGGUCAGCGUCUUUGAGUCCACGAGACUCAUUUCAUGGUUUCAAUUUGGGAAAUCUUAUGAUUCUGGCUAAACUAUACCCUCAAGAUUUUGAUUUUGGGGAUUUUAGGCAUCUUGAUAGGGAUCUACGGCUCUAUUGCUGA